UGGUGGUGACAUCAGGAGCGUGGUAAACCCCAUCCGGAGCAAGACCAAAUUGGCCCUUUUUGAGAUGGCCCGUCUUAUGGGGCGGGUAGGUCGCUCAUCCCCUUGGGCAAUCAAGGGGUUAGACAAAUAACCGCCCUCGCUAAGCUUUUAGCGGGAACAGAAUUCGGCUUACGUCCUGCUCCAGCCU
RNAcentral lists this RNase P RNA (187 nucleotides) under bacterium. Its description in RNAcentral is "partial RNase P RNA component class A". It matches the Rfam family "Bacterial RNase P class A", at positions 184 to 367 of the family's 367-position model. From Rfam's summary of the family: Ribonuclease P (RNase P) is a ubiquitous endoribonuclease, found in archaea, bacteria and eukarya as well as chloroplasts and mitochondria. Its best characterised activity is the generation of mature 5'-ends of tRNAs by cleaving the 5'-leader elements of precursor-tRNAs. The record is from RNAcentral.